Molecule: ribosomal RNA, 498 nt
Filed under: uncultured bacterium
Lineage: Bacteria
Description: partial 16S ribosomal RNA
Rfam family: Bacterial small subunit ribosomal RNA
Source: RNAcentral
ACGAACGCUGGCGGCGUGCUUAACACAUGCAAGUCGAACGGGCCCGCCCCUGUUUUUGGGGGUGGGUUGAGUGGCGAACGGGUGAGUAUCACGUGAGUAACCUGCCCCCUGCUCCUGGAUAACUGCUUGAAAGGGCGGCUAAUACGGGGUGUGCCGGCUGGUCCGCAUGGGCCUGGUCGGGAUAGUUUCAUCUUCGGGUGUUUCGGUGGGGGAUGGGCUCGCGGCCUAUCAGCUUGUUGGUGGGGUGAUGGCCCACCAAGGCGGUGACGGGUAGCCGGCCUGAGAGGGUGGGCGGCCACACUGGGACUGAGACACGGCCCAGACUCCUGCGGGAGGCAGCAGUGGGGGGUAUUGCACAAUGGGCGGAAGCCGGAUGCAGCGACGUCGCGUGAGGGAUGGAGGCCUUCGGGUUGUGAACCUCUUUCUCCGGUGGUGAAGGCCCUGUCCGUUGCGGCGGGGUUGACGGUAGCCGGGUAUGAAGCGCCGGCUAACUACGUG